Long non-coding RNA from Etheostoma cragini (Arkansas darter), 152 nucleotides. RefSeq lists it as uncharacterized. The transcript is spliced from 2 exons. The record is from RefSeq and is a predicted model, not a curated record. NCBI's taxonomy places the organism in Eukaryota, Metazoa, Chordata, Actinopteri, Perciformes, Percidae.
UGUGUGUGUGUCUGUGUGUGUGUGUGUGUGUGUGCUGUAUGUUCUACGUGUAAUGUGAGUUGUUAAAUAACAAAACUGACAAAUGCUGUUUUACCACCGUGUGUAAAUAAGCUUGUACAUAGCCUUGUAAGUAAAUACUUUUCGAAUAGAAA